GGACAUAUUGUAGAGGGAUGGGGAAUGCCCGACAGAGGAAACCUAGACCCCGUUCAUCAGCGCAGUCAAACAGUCAAGGGACUGCUUUGACAGCAAAAGUGGCGGAGCUGCAGGGUCAGAUGUCAGUGAUUCUAAAGUCUCUCGCGCGGUUCAGCAUUCCUGUCCCAUAAUUUGAUGCGUCGACCUCUGCCCCUGUGGACGCCCAGACCACCGAGCUUGUCCAUCCUGAGCAUGCCCACC
RNAcentral lists this long non-coding RNA (240 nucleotides) under Prunus persica (peach). RNAcentral describes it as "long non-coding RNA (PPER_LNC008096)". The record is from RNAcentral. Lineage: Eukaryota; Viridiplantae; Streptophyta; Magnoliopsida; Rosales; Rosaceae.